UACGGGGGGGGCAAGCGUUGUUCGGAAUUACUGGGCGUAAAGGGCUCGUAGGUGGCCAACUAAGUCGGACGUGAAAUCCCUCGGCUUAACCGGGGAACUGCGUCCGAUACUGGUUGGCUUGAGUUUGGGAGAGGGAUGCGGAAUUCCAGGUGUAGCGGUGAAAUGCGUAGAUAUCUGGAGGAAUACCGGUGGCGAAGGCGGCAUCCUGGACCGGCAUUGACGCUGAGGCGCGAAAGCCAGGGGAGCAAACGGG
This 253-nucleotide ribosomal RNA is filed under the name uncultured bacterium. RNAcentral's name for it is "partial 16S ribosomal RNA". It matches the Rfam family "Bacterial small subunit ribosomal RNA", at positions 524 to 776 of the family's 1533-position model. The record is from RNAcentral.